Molecule: ribosomal RNA, 450 nt
Filed under: uncultured bacterium
Lineage: Bacteria
Description: partial 16S ribosomal RNA
Rfam family: Bacterial small subunit ribosomal RNA
Source: RNAcentral
AGCGAACGCUGGCGGCAUGCCUAACACAUGCAAGUCGCACGGGGGGGCUUCGGCCUCCCAGUGGCGGACGGGUGAGGAACGCGUAGGGACCUGUCGAGGGGUGGGGGAUAACCGCGGGAAACUGCGGCUAAUACCGCAUGACGCCGCGGCGUGACAGCCGGGGCCAAAGGCGAAAGCCGCCCGCCGAGGGGCCUGCGUCCGAUUAGCUGGUUGGCGGGGUAGCGGCCCACCAAGGCGUCGAUCGGUAGCUGGUCUGAGAGGGUGAUCAGCCACACCGGGACUGAGACACGGCCCGGACUCCUACGGGAGGCAGCAGUGGGGAAUAUUGGACAAUGGGCGCAAGCCUGAUCCAGCAAUGCCGCGUGGGUGAAGAAGGUCUUAGGAUUGUAAAGCCCUUUCGGCGGGGACGAUGGUGACGGUACCCGCAGAAGAAGCCCCGGCUAACUUCGU